AAUAAAAGCGUGCGUUCAUUUUUCCGCCAUUUUGUGACGAGCCUGGACGGAGCUGUGAGGUAGUUGUGAUAGGAGAGGAAUUUUCUUCUUGUUUUGUUUCAGAAGUCAUAAUGUCAAGUGGAAGAGUCUAUGUUGGAAGGUUGAGCUACCAAGCUCGAGAGAGGGAUGUUGAAAGGUUUUUCAGAGGUUUUGGUAGAAUACGUGAAAUCAAUCUAAAAAAUGGCUUUGGGUUUGUGGAAUUUGAAGACUAUCGAGAUGCUGAUGAUGCUGUCUAUGAGCUGAAUGGCAAAGAACUUGUUGGUGAAAGAGUAAUUAUUGAACAUGCCAGAGGACCUGCAAGAGGUCGUGAUGAAUACAGAUAUGGCUACCGCAGGAGAGGAGGUGUUGACAAGUUCGGAGGAUCUGGUGGGGGUGGUAGUAGGAGCUCACAAAGAUAUGGGCCUCCAGUCAGAACCGAACAUCGCGUCAUUGUGGAGCAUCUAUCCACCAGAGUUAGUUGGCAGGACUUGAAAGACUACAUGAGACAGGCAGGAGAGGUCACAUUUGCAGAUGCCCACAAACAGCGCAAGAAUGAAGGAAUCGUUGAAUUCGCUACGUACAGUGACAUGAAGAAUGCAAUUGAGAAACUAGAUGGAACAGAAAUUAAUGGACGUCGCAUCAAUGUGGUAGAGGACAGGCCCUCAUCAUCAUCAUCAAGGAGAAGGUCUAGGAGCCACUCUAGAUCUCGUUCCCGAUCUCGUCGUCGCUCCAGGUCUCCCCGAAGCAGAUCCCGAAGCCGCUCCCGUAGCAGGUCCCGAUCUCGCUCCCAUUCCCGCAAGUCUAGAAGCCCAAGGAAGAGCCCAAAGAGGAGCCCCAAGAGAAGUAGGAGCAGGUCUCUUAGUCCAAAGCGCGAUAGUCGAAGCCGGAGCCGUUCACGAAGCAAGUCACCAAGGAAUAGCAGAAGUCCUUCACCUAUUGAGCAGAACAACAAGGGAAUGUCAAGAUCCAGAUCUCCUAGUCCUCGAGAUGAUGAUUAGACUGGGAUGUCGGGUGGAAAGAAUGGUUUGGCCAAAUGGAAGUGGUAUCUAUGAAUGCAGAAAUUUAAAAGAUGUACAGCUGUAUACUUUGUGAACUUUGUAAAUUUACAGUUGUAUUUCAGUGACAGCAUAUUAAUAUGCUCUAGCUCAUUGCAUUCUACUUCACUUUGAAUGAUUGAUACUAUGUUGGGGGAAAAAGGGUGAAAUGUAGAUCAACACCAAAAUGUGGACCUCUUUUUUUCACCUGUACCAUUGUCACUUGGCUUUGGUCUGAAUAUUUCCCUUCAGAGGUGAGAAGAUAGUAUUGGCACCAUGGUAGUGUUGCAUUAAACUUUUCAUUUAAGGUAACUCCAUCAGUGCUUAUCAAAAUCAAGGUUUCUAUUAACUGCCAUUGAUAUUUAAGUUACCACAAAAUAAAGUUUUCUGCAACUGAACCAAUUUUUUUCCAAUAUAUUUUUAAUCAUACACCUGAAGAAAUGAUUAUCUACUAUUUUUAGUAUUUUAAUUGAUGCCUUCGCAGCAUCAUGCUCAGUUCAGAAAUCAUUACUGAAUCAGCUGAAUGAUAUUUGUACAUUAUGAUGCCCUUUGUAUAUUAUAUCUUUUCAAAUUGUAGAAAUUGUUUAAAUUGGUUUGAUGGAAAGGAGAGUUCUAGUACUACCGCUAUUGAACAGCUUUAUAUUUUUGGAGGAAAGCGAACCUGUCAUUACUGAUAACAAAUAAUCCUUACCCAAAUUAGAUCACAAAUGUGUAUUUUUCACAGCUUUUGUAAGUGGUAUUUAGGCAUUCCUUGAAUUUAUCUUUGGUUUAUUUUAAAUGUGAUGUGGUUCAAAUUGGUGUAUUUUUGUAAUUGUCCUUUCAUUCUCAAGGUUUUUUUUGUAAAUUUGAAAAUGUGUUGUAUUUCCUUUAGAGGUAAUUCUAAAAUUUCCUCCAUUUAAUAUUUUCUCCUUUUUAAAAAGCUUUCUUGUACAUUACUUUUAUUAGUGAUUAUGCCAGACAUUUUAAUAACAUGAUUGCACUCAUUCAAUAUUCAGAAAAACCCAAAUUAUGGCCGUGUUGCUGGAUGUACUUUUCAGAGUAACCAAGUGUUUUUAUUGUAAACCUCGCGUUUUCAUGAGAAAUACUGUUUUUCCACCAAAAACGUUCCCCCCCCCACUUUAUGGAAUGUUCUAAAGUAAUAGCUGCAGAAUGAGUUUUGAAAAGAACUGUAUUUUAAGUAGGGUAAUAAUUUGUAUGUAAACUUGUUUUUCACAUGGAUUAAAAGAAUGAAAGGCAAA
This 2290-nucleotide unclassified non-coding RNA is filed under the name Lytechinus variegatus (green sea urchin). RNAcentral's name for it is "serine/arginine-rich splicing factor 6-like, transcript variant X1". The record is from RNAcentral. Lineage: Eukaryota; Metazoa; Echinodermata; Echinoidea; Temnopleuroida; Toxopneustidae.